Alnus glutinosa is the source of this 3634-nucleotide RNA transcript. RefSeq lists it as uncharacterized. The record is from RefSeq and is a predicted model, not a curated record. NCBI's taxonomy places the organism in Eukaryota, Viridiplantae, Streptophyta, Magnoliopsida, Fagales, Betulaceae. The transcript has 5 exons.
AAAAAAAUAAACGAAAAAAUAAACCCCAAUUUUAUCCAUCUCUCCCUCUCUCUUUGUCUCCCUCUUACUCUGUGUGUGUGUGUUUUUGCGGGACAUGUUACGUAUAUGUGAGCGUCUCGUAGCGAGCUGUGGGUGAGAGAGCCCAAUUCGAUUUGGGUACUGCACCGAACACCUCUGUUUUCGCUUUCUCAUUGCCUCCGAGAUCAUGACGGGGAAGAAGAUUAUAGCGAUAUGUCAGUCAGGGGGAGAAUUUGAGACAGAUAGAGAUGGUUCGUUGUUGUAUAGGGGUGGUGAUGCUCACGCUAUAGACAUUGAUGACCAAAUGAAGUUUAAUGAGUUUAAGAUGGAAGUGGCAGAAAUGUUUAAUUGUAGCAUUGAUACCAUGUUUAUCAAAUACUUCCUUCCCGGAAACAAAAAGACACUCAUUACGAUUUCCAAUGACAAGGAUCUAAAGCGCAUGAUAAAAUUCCAUGGGGACUCUGUCACUGCUGAUGUUUAUGUCAUUAUGGAAGAAAUUGUUACCCCCGAUGUGUCAAACUUCCCUGCCAGUAGGUCAAGCAGAACAACUUUGUCAGAAACUGUUCUUCCAGUUGAUGCCCCCCUUGCUGUUGUUGAUGAUAUUGUGGAUGAUACCACCCAGCCAGAAAUCCCCCUUGAUGCUCCUCUUGAUGUUGUAGAUGAUACCAACCAUGUUGAUGCCCAUAUUGAUAUACCCUCUGAAAUUUCUCCCAUUUUAGCUAUCACUGGUUCCAAUGACGAGAAGCAUGCUAAAGGUGCACAGCAGUGGCAGAAUACUAUUACAGGAGUGGGGCAAAGGUUCAGCAGUGUUCAUGAAUUUCGUGAAUCAUUGCGUAAAUAUGCCAUUGCACACCAGUUUGCAUUCAGGUACAAGAAGAAUGAUAGUCAUCGCGUGACUGUCAAAUGCAAAGCAGAAGGCUGCCCUUGGAGAAUCCAUGCAUCAAGGUUGUCAACCACUCAAUUAAUAUGUAUUAAAAAGAUGAAUCCAACACAUACAUGCGAAGGGGCUGUUGCAACAACAGGGCAUCAGGCGACUAGGAGUUGGGUGGCUAGUAUUAUCAAGGAGAAGUUGAAAGUUUUCCCAAAUUAUAAGCCCAAGGAUAUUGUCAAUGACAUCAAACAGGAAUAUGGAAUACAACUGAACUAUUUUCAGGCAUGGCGCGGGAAAGAAAUUGCAAAGGAGCAACUUCAGGGUUCAUACAAAGAGGCAUAUAAUCAGUUACCUUUCUUUUGUGGGAAGAUAAUGGAGACCAAUCCAGGAAGUCUUGCUACUUUCACCACUAAGGAGGACUCAAGUUUCCAUCGUCUCUUUGUGUCCUUCCAUGCCUCAUUAUAUGGUUUCCAACAAGGUUGCCGGCCUCUCCUUUUUCUUGAUAGUAUACACUUAAAGUCAAAAUAUCAAGGCACCUUGUUAGCUGCAACAGCAGCAGAUGGGGAUGAUGGUGUUUUUCCUGUUGCUUUUGCCGUAGUUGAUGCCGAAUCUGAUGAUAACUGGCAUUGGUUCUUGCUACAACUGAAAUCUGCUCUGUCAACAUCUUUCGUGAUAACAUUUGUGGCCGACAGACAAAAGGGGUUAAGGGAGUCCAUUGCUGAUGUAUUUACGGGUUCGUACCAUGGCUACUGCUUAAAAUACUUGACCGAGCAACUUCUUAGAGACUUGAAAGGGCAGUUUUCUCAUGAGGUGAAGCGACUCAUGGUUGAGGAUUUUUAUGCUGCUGCUUAUGCACCUACUGCAGAAAGCUUUCAAAGAUGUAUUGAUAGCAUUAAAAGUAUUUCUACAGAAGCUUACAAUUGGAUCAUACAAAGUGAGCCCCAGAACUGGGCAAAUUCAUAUUUUCAGGGUUCCAGAUAUGACCAUAUGGCAUCGAACUUUGGGGAGCUAUUCUAUAGUUGGGCGUCAGAUGCACAUGAAUUACCAAUAACACAGAUGGUUGAUGUUAUAAGGGGCAAGAUUAUGGAGUUGAUCUACACCCGACGGGCAGAAUCAAACCAAUGGCUGUCAAGACUAAGUCCAUCCAUGGAGGAAAAACUGAAAAAAGAAAGCCAUAAAGUCCAUUCCCUUCAAGUGCUACUGUCAGCUGGUAGCACAUUUGAGGUUCGUGGCGACUCCAUUGAAGUGGUUGACAUUGAUAAUUGGGAUUGUAGUUGCAAAAGGUGGCAGUUAACUGGUUUACCGUGCUGCCAUGCAUUUGCUGUUAUUGGUUGCCUUGGUCGGAGCCCUUAUGAUUAUUGUUCCAGAUACUUCACAACUGAGAGCUACAGAUUAACUUAUUCAGAGUCUGUACAUCCUAUUCCAAAUGUGGACAUGCCUGUGCAGAGAGAUUCUUCUCAGAUCACAGUAACUGUAACCCCUCCUCCCACCCGCCGUCCACCAGGGCGACCCACAACAAAGCGGUAUGGACCACAAGAGGUAGUGAAACGUCAACUCCAGUGCAGCAGGUGCAAGGGUCUUGGGCACAACAAGUCCACUUGCAGAGAGCUCAUUUAGAGUGUUAGACAUUGAUUGCACUGAAGGACAACGGGCAUCACAAUCUUGUACAUUUAACAACUGUAUUGGAGGGGCUGAAAGAUAAACCUGUAAUUUAGUUUUAAAUGACCAAGUCAUGAGAUGUAUGUAACGGUAGUUUCUCUUUUUGUUCUUUCUGUCUUUCUAACUUCAAUCUUUGCUAGUUUGAAUGACAUUUAGCGACAUGAAAAGAAUGUCUUAGGGUUGUUUGAAAGGUUUAUACAGUUGGAGUCACCUUGCUGAUGUAAAACAUCAAGUAUUUUGGUUAUUUGGGUUUUACCGUCCCCAAGUUUUGAGGGCAAGAGAAAUAGGAGUUUACUGAGUACAGUCCAAAUGUGGUUUGCUGAGGAUUACGUGCUGUUGAUACUGAUGGUGGCAUCUACUUCGAACACUAUCCAUUUUGUAGUGGGGACCAAAGGGCCUGUAUAACUUUGGUGUGGUGUUCUUGUUGGCCACAGUAAUAUCAGCUACGAAAUACCGAAGAUCAGCACUACAUGGCUCCGCUGGAUUGGAAGUUCUCUUUUUUUCUUAUGGGUAAGUAAAGGGGUAUUAAAAGCUGAAAAGAUGUAGAAGAUCAGAACAUGUGAUUCUCAUAUUUGCACGAAGUUGAAAAGCGUCUUGUUCUGGUUCUCAACCUUGCUUAUGUCCAGUCUUACAAAAAUGAAUUCUAAUGUUGGGCGACAAGGUAAUGGUGCCUUGUGAACAUUUGCCGGUGAUCGAACAGCCUAAUAGGCAUUCCUCUUGUAGUGGGGGUGGGUCCACCCUCUAUGACUGGAGAGCUGAUAUGCGAACAGGUCAGAGAACUUGUUGAAUUCAGCAUCAACUGUGUACGUUUUGAGCUCCAUAUUUCUCUUUGUCACCAUCAUUGGACGAAAAAGAGAUACGACCACAGACUGCAACAAGGCAAAAGAUGAGAUGAACUAACGGUCAGGUAAUCUGCUACGUGGAGUGAAAAACCCAGAUCUCGUUCAUGGCGUGAGCAUAAAACUGUAGAAUGCGGACCUGAUAUUGUUGUUCUUGUGCUUGAUGGAAAUAGAAUUUAGGACCAGUUGCCUCUGGUGACAGUUUUCAAAGAAGCCUUUGAGAGAUUCUUGGCUUUGUUUGGUAAAA